RNAcentral lists this long non-coding RNA (3270 nucleotides) under Sus scrofa (pig). RNAcentral describes it as "lncRNA (ENSSSCG00025056142.1)". The record is from RNAcentral. Lineage: Eukaryota; Metazoa; Chordata; Mammalia; Artiodactyla; Suidae.
GUUCUGUUGCCCUUUUAUCUCAGGUCUGGGUGAUGUUAUGAAUGGUGAUACUUAGGUUCCUAGAACUCAGCCGGCCCAGCAUGCAUUGUGCACAGAUUUGACGUUAUCUAAGCAAGGGUUGGCUAUGGCCCAUCUUGGAGAAGGGAAGGCAUUAGGGUUGUUCUGAUGGAGCAGUUUGUUUACUCUUAGGACACAAAGGAAGAAGUACCCAGGGGGAGUGCAUGCCUGACACACUUCUGAGGAACUGAACCACCUCCAUCAGUAGCUAGCCCGAGAGAAGGCACCUUUGCAGUGUGAGAGAGGCCCACACGGGCAAUUCUUGGCUAGUGGCUUUUCCACAGGCGUCAGGAGGGCUACAUACUAAUGCUAACACAAGACAACCGACGUCUUCCUUCCCAGCAAGUACAUCUCCUGUCUUGUCCCUGUGUGUGUUCAUUGAGUCAGUGCAGAAGGCACCAGUGGGUGAGAUUUCCAUAGGAUUCAGUCCCAAGGGCCCUUAAACUGUGAGUAAUGGAAGAGGCAUUGACCAGGGUCCAGAGAAGCCCCAGGUGUUACUGCAAGUUCCUCCCUUUGGUAGGGGCAGUGAGGCACUUCAGAGUGAGGACUUUGUAUUCUUUAGAGAUGUUAAUUCAAGGGGCGAGAUCCAAGCUGUGAAGAUGCAUUAGCGACUGGAUAUGAACUUCAAAAGGGGUAGGGUUAACAGACCUGUUAGCCAAGGUGAGAGUGAGGUUGUCAUUCUUAGGGAUGAAAUGUAGUAUCUUUAAUCCUUAGGGAUCACUUUGUGGGUGGAAGUGACAGACCAGCACCGGGAUAGAUUUUGCUCAUGGGCUAUAAUCCCUAAGAAAUUUACUAUUGCAUUGAAUUCCUAUUCCCUGUGGACAGAAGAGAUGGAACAGAGGAGAUCAGAAAGAAUAGACAAUAAUGGCCACUCAUCCUGCUUCCAGUAUGAAGAUUCCCCUACAUCUAGCAUGGACAGAAGUGUUGACAGAGGGAGGAGUUUUGGCAGAACAACAGAAGUCAAGUACGGCAAUGGCAAAGAAAAAGCCAACUACUAAGCCUGUCUGUCUACCACAUUACUUUAUUGGCUUCCAAAUAAACCCAAUCCUAGGGGACAAAAGAUGUGAAUCCAUAUCAGAAGAGAGAGGCAGUUCUGGAUUCCUGAGGUGUGUAAAGCUUUGAUUCUGCCCCCUCUCUGUAAGGUCUGUUUUCACCAGUCCAUAGCCCUAGGCUUGGUCUUGGAGCUGGGUUCUUCAGGAUAGGCUUCCUGUACAUGAGCUCAUAUGGACUCAACCUGAGUUUCCUUUGGGGGCCAUUUGCAUUCUCAAAAGUGCUGUGGGGAGAAGGGAGAUCUAGGCUGAUGAAUGAACCACAGGAGAAUUCCUAAAUUUUUGCUGAGGGUUUGGUUUGUUCUACUUUUCCUGAGGAUUGUGGCCUCCAAGUAGCGUGUGAACCCCAUUUGAUUCAUAGAGCUCUAGAGUUUCUCUUAGUAAUUUGGGAAAAUAACAUGGGCCCGUUGUGACUCUGGAUGGAUAUAAGGAGCCUGAGCUGAAGAUUACUUCCUUGAGCAAGGCCUUAGACCUCCAAGCAGUCUCUGUUUGAGUGGGGAAUGCUCCAUUAGUUGGAGAAGGUGUCAAAACCAGCAUAGGAGUUCCCUGGUAGCCUCAUGGUUAAGGAUUAGGCAUUGUCACUGCUAUAGCUCAUUGUCACUGCUAUGGUUCGAGUUCAUUUCCCAGCCUGGGAAACUCUGUGUACCAUGAAUGUGGCCAAAAAACAAAACAAAACCAGGAUAUAUCUAAAAUUUAAUUGCCCCAGGGCAUUACUGUGAAAUCAGAUUGCCAGUCUUAACCUGCAUAUGUGCCUUUAUACUGGGUGGGGGUCACUCCCUUGGCCUUGGGUCGGGGGAGGUGUGUUGGGCUUAUUCCAGAGGCAGAUAGGGCAGCUUUUACCACCUGUUUAAGUAGACUGCAGAAAUUGGGAGUAGUCAUGGAUUGGAUAAGCUGUUGAUACAGGGCCUCCUGCCCAUAAAGUAUGCUCUAGUGAGUUUCCCAGAGAGCAAUGGCUGAUGGGAGAAUAGCUGCCCAUGACCAUUAACCAGCUACCUGGGUAUUAUGCCUUUUAAAACAACCCCACCUUUGAGUUUCCUGGUGGCCUAGUGGUUUAGGAUUUGGCAUUGUCACUGCUGUGGCUCAGAUUUGAUCCUUGGUCUAGGAAAUUCUGCAUGCUGUGGGCAUGGCCAAAACAAAAACAGCCCCAUCUCAAAGCCUUUUCCCUUAUUUCUGGGGUGUAUAUGGGAGUGUUGGAGUUAGGGAGUGGGGGAGAUGGUAGGAGUGGCAUUUGAAGUCUGUCUGCACCCUUUGCUGCUUGUGUAACUGCCAUAUCUGCUCUGUUAUUCCCUCUUAUAAUUCCUCCUUCUCCCUUUUGAUGGCCUCUGCAGUGAAUAACUGCUACUCCUUUGGCAGGAGUAUACCCUCCAGCAGCUGCAUAAUCCACCCCCCCCCCAUUAUUAAUCUUUUUAUUCUGAGGUCAGCAUUCCUUUCCCCAUCUAGCUGACCCCAUGGGUAUGUUGGAUUCAACAGGCAUAUUUAGAGUCAGUUUAAAUGGUGACAACUUUGCCUUUCCCAGGUUCUAGUGCUCUGACUAGGGUAGAUAACUCACCUUUAUAGGGAGAACAGACAGAAGGCAAAGCCUCAGCUGUUUGGUCCAAUUCUUAAAGAAAAAAAAAAAAAAAAGGCUAACCCGGAGUCAGAGGUCCCAUUUUUGUGUAAGCACUCCCAGGCAGUUAAAACUUCCCACUAGAAUCAAAUAUGUGUCCAUUCCCCAUGUAGUUCUCUUGGCCCUUGCCUUAGUGUUUUGAGGUUAUGUAAUUAGAUGCAUACAUGUUUAGAAAUUAAGACUUUCUGUUGAAUGUACCUUAUAUCUUUUUAAGUGUCUCCUUUAACUCUAGUAAUGUUUUUUGCCUUAAAGUCUAUUUUUCUGAUGUUAACAUAACUAUGCUUGCUUGAGAGGGGGCUGUAGUUGUGUCCAUAUAGAUGGAGGGGACUGGUCAGGUAAAUCUAACAUGGGAGCUUUCAUGAGAUGAUUUUUUAUUUCAAGGAAAGCCUGGACAAAGUCAGGGAUCCACUAGAAAGGGUCCUUCCCUUUUAAUUGUUCAUAAAGGGCUUAGCAAUUAAACCAAAGUUUGGGAUCCAUAUGCAGAAGAACCCUCCCAUCCCCAGAAAACCCUGGGGCUGCUUUCUUGUACUCUUGGGGGGCUGCCAUCUGGUAAAUCAA